Molecule: transfer RNA, 21 nt
Filed under: Scarus taeniopterus (princess parrotfish)
Lineage: Eukaryota; Metazoa; Chordata; Actinopteri; Labriformes; Labridae
Description: partial tRNA-Phe
Source: RNAcentral
CCCUUAAAAGUCCCGAUAGCA